GAUUUAUUUUCUCCCUAUAGAACUCGAACAGACAGAAAAUAAAACGUAGAGAGGGAGAAAAUGGAAAGAGAAGAAAAGGAAAGAAAGAAGAAGAAGAAGUGGGUUUCAAUAUUGGGUUCUUCAUUUCUUCAAUUUUUCCAUUGACUUAGAAAGGUAAAUGUAAGUAUGUUGAAUUAUUUUUUUGAGUUUAUGGAAAAAUUUCUCAAAUUUAAGGUUUAGCAAAAAUUAAUGAUUAUUGAUAUAUGUUUGAGGUAUUAAACAACAACAAUAAUAUUAGUGUUGAAAGGAAGGAAAGGAGAAAUGGGUUUGUAAAUUAGAGUUUCAAUCUUUAAUUCACUGUGUUUAUACUUGAUUUAUGAGGACUUAGAGUGGUAAAAGGAUUUUAGGUUAGAUUUUGGUAUUUAUAAUCAAUUCUUUCCAAACAGGGGCUGGGUAUCUAUAGAAAGCAGUUGUUGUCAUAGUAGGGGCCCUAAGGCGGGAAUUGUACUAAAGUAGUGUUUUCACGGUGACAGGAAUCUUUACUGGCAGGAAGAUAAGGAGGGACUCUCUUUUUCCCAUUUUCUUGAAAAGAUAUUAUGCUGAGUUGGAAUCCUAUUCUAACUAAGGAUUCUUGGGCAGCUCUUUGGAGAAGGACUUAGCCCCCCGUGAGGUUGGUAAUAGUAUACCCUCGUCAAAAGUUCUGUUAGCUGACAUUUUGAAGUACAAUCUUUAGGAAAAAACUAUUGGACGUAUGACACUAGAAAGCAAAGCGCUCCCAAUGAGUGAUCUAGAGCUCGUGUAUACAAGAUGAAAGGUCUUUCGUCGCAAAAUUCAUGUGCAGGUUGCUAUUUUCGAAAUUAAUCCCAGAAAAUGCUAUUUCUGUCAUUGGAUUGGUGACACUUUUCAGUACAUAGAAAUUCGUGCCAAUCAAUACUCUGGGAUUUUAGUGUUAUUUUUGUCAAACCUUUGUUUUCUCAGGUUUUAUAAGUUUGAAUAAAACUAAAUGAUAAAUAUUGGAGUCUAGGUAUCGGAAUAGCUCAUGUAGAGGUUGUAUGUGUAUGAGGUAGUGAUUUUAAGAAAGUAUUGAGUAAUCUAACGGAUUUGAUUAUAUGCAAUGUUUGAUUGCUAAUAAUCAAAGAGAAAAUAAAUUAGGAAAAUAGAGAUACAAGAAUAAAUAUUAGAAGUUGAGGAAUAAUACGGUGGAUUUACAUUAAUUUAAUUGUCAUGUUUUAAUUUGAGUAAUUAUAACAUUAUUUUAGAUAGUGACUUGAAAGCUUGGAAAGUCUCUUCAAUUUAAUGAGAUGUUUAUCCAUAGAUCUGUG
RNAcentral lists this long non-coding RNA (1301 nucleotides) under Olea europaea subsp. europaea. Lineage: Eukaryota; Viridiplantae; Streptophyta; Magnoliopsida; Lamiales; Oleaceae. The record is from RNAcentral.